AUGAGAGGGUGAUGAAAAACGGGAGGGGGGUGGGGGGAAUUGGGCCGCAAUCCCAUCCAAUCAGAAAGCUUUGAAUAAUUAAACUGAUCAGCUUAAUUAGCUCAAUUAAGUUGAUUUGACCACGGAACAUGGCCAUAUGGCGAGAGGAAACAAAAGAGGGGGGAACUAAUUAAAAGUAAAAUAAUGAGGAUUUUAAUUAAGCAGUUCCCCAGACGUCAGCAAGCAGGGAUCUGGAGCCAUAAUUAAAAAGUGCUGCGGUGCUGGCAACAUUUUCUCCCCCCCCUGUUUUAAUAACUGUGAGGGGCUCCAUCCAUCUAAUUAAAUCUGUAAAUGAAUUAGCAACAUCGAGGGUCUUCACUUGAGUUUUUUUUUUUUAACACCCCACCUUCCAGUCUCACUUCCCAAAUAACUUUGUACACAUACUGCAUGCUCAGUUACUCUCACACACCCACACAGAGAUACAUGUGUGUGUGCACACACCUCUUACAGCACAACGUCUGUCAUUAAUGAAACUAAUCAUUAUUGAUACAGUGCCACAGGGUUGAGGCAGGGGCUCAGAGACAGACCAAGCAUCCCCAGAGUCAUUCAAAGCCUGAAAUGUGUGCACACAUAACUCUGUCACUCUACUCAGUUUUAUGUUGUUUACCAUCUAUAGCAGUGAUGGUGUGUUAUAAUGCCAGGCAAUUAUCUAGAUGAAUCACUGGCACUGUUGUAUUGUAAAAUUAGAAAGCUGUUUGUACUUCAUACUCAACCUCUAGAUUUAGAACGCCACCAUUUCACACACAAUAUGUGAGUGGGUUUAGGUGUGUAAAUUUGUUAUAUGUAAUGAAUGCACAGUUUUAAUGGUGUACUGUAAUCCUGUUAUGGAAGCUUCCACACUGGAGAGCAAUAUGACUCUCUUGCUUUCUCUCAUGGUAGCAUCUGGAGUCUUCUUUACAGACCUAAUCCCCCCUGUUAAUUGCAUGGGUUAGCCUUCGAUUACCUCCGAGCUGGUUUGUCCUAAUGAACGACAGGCGAGCAUGCUGUGAAUUAAUUGCUUUGGUACAAGAGUGCCGUUGCUUCACUCCUGUGUAAAGUCAAGAGGUGUUUUGUCCUAGUUUGCAAUAUUGGAAGGACACAAACAUUUGUCCUCAGUUUUGGAGGCCCAGCUGAACAUAUGAGUAACGGAGAUUUCACAGCUAGGGGUCUUCAUUUUGAAACUGCUCGUAAAACCUCAAAGCAUGUGAGUAUUGGCCAGUGUUGAGGGCCAGAUUCGGGCAGUAUGACCUCAUUUGAGUCCCCUUGGCAUGUCUGGGGUAAUGCAACAAUCAUAAUAGGAUGGGGGGGGGGAGUGGUACAGGGACUGCAUUGUCCUGGAUCCUAUCAAGAAGAACUAUCAGAUAAAGCUGGAGAUCUGUUCACAGAGCCUUUGAUGUCAUUUAAAUAGAGCUCCAGAGUCUAAUACCAGAUUCUGAUUCUUUCUUAUCUUAGUUUUCAACCUCUCUUAUCAGAUUAUGAUCAGAGACAAUCCCAGACCAGCCAAUUUCUACUGUGAGCCUCAGGCCACACUGUGCUUAAGUGAGCUCUGGAACAGCUGGCUUCAGCAGCAGUUCUUGGGUACAAAUCUACAGUAUCCGGAUGAGAUUAUCCACUGAAGAAAAGAAACGGCAUCUAACUACAAUACCACGGACACGGUCACGGACUACAACACCCAACAAACAAAGACACUGUCACCUUCACCAGCUUACUGAAGGAGAUAAGGUUAGGGUUACAUGAAUGCCAGGACCCAAGGUUUCCCAGCAGAACAUUGCCCAGAGCAUCACACUGCCUCAACCAGCUUGCCUUCUUCCCAUAGUGCAUCCUGUUGCCAUCUCUUCUCCAGGUAAGCGACGCACACACACCUGGCUGUCCACAUGAUGGAACGAAAAAUGUGAUUCAUCAGACCAGGUCACCUUCUUCCAUUGCUCUAUGGUCCAGUUCUGCUGCUCACAUGCCCACAGUAUGUGCUUUCGGUGGUGGACAGUCAGUGGUCAGCAUGGGCACUAUGAACGGUCUGCGACUACGCAGCCCCAUAUGCAGCAAGCUGCGAUACACUGUGUGUUCUGACUCCUUUCUAUUAUAGUCAGCAUUUGCAUUUUCAAUGUGAGAUCCGGCAAAAUGGGCUAGGCUUCACCCCCCACAAACAUCAGUGAGCCUUGGGGACCCAUGACCCUGUCACUGAUUCACUGGUUGUGAAUCAAACACAUCCAACUUACGUGAUGAACCAACACAUUCCAACUUCAAGAACUGACUGUUCACUUGCUGCCUAAUAUAUCCCAUAUAUCCCAACAGGUGCCAUUGUAACAAAAUAAUCAUUGUUAUUCACUUCAUCUGUCAGUGGUUUUACUGUUAUGGCUGAUGGGUGUAUAUUUAUAUAGUUAUUUUGUGACUUGGAACAAAAUUAGUGCUGUGUCCUCUAGAGCUUGGUAUGAAUACUCCAAAUUUAAUGGAACCAGCCUUUUAUAAGUGUUCUGAUAUUUUCCUGUUGACCACUGAGUGACAAUACUCACUUCCUCAGCAUGCCAAACUUCUGUGGUCAAGGCUUCCCUGGACUCUCUUUGUUGCUCUACCUCUCAUAUUCAGAUGUCAACUCUGUCUGGUGCCUGAUUUGGUGUCACUAUGUUAACAGGAACUCAAAUAGCUCAGGUAAAAUUAUACAGAAAAUUUAAGUAAUUUUUCUUAUGAAUUAUAAGCUGUGUAAAAUGUUUGUUCCCAGAGUUUCUUCCAGGGACCAAUGACCUGAAUUUCUGUAAAGCUGCUUUGGGCAAUGUCCACUGUUAAAAGUGCUAUACAAAUACAACUGAGUUGAAUUGAAUUUAACAACCUAGGGUUUAAACAGAAGCAAACCCCUUUCUUUUCUUGAAAAAUGGACAAAGGUGGCUUGGGGUACAGUGGAGUCCAAUCAUAUACUGUCUAAUCAUAUACUGUACAGUAUAUCAGCCAUCAAACACAUGUUAAUCUUCAUAAAGUCCUUGUUCAUAACCCCGGGCAUUCUAAAUUCAGCUGAAAUACUAAUGGCCUCCUUUGAAUAAUCAAUGAUUUUUUAAAAACUGCCUAUAUUUGACAGAUAUAAGCCAAAGUUUCAUUGAUUUGUUCCCCUUUCUAGAUGUUGUGCAAUCAUAGGGCAGUGUGCUCAGAGCCACUCUUAGCACCAUAUACUUAUUAUUGUAUGCAGUGUUGAAAAAUGGGAACUGCAACAAGUACUAAUAGAAGCCCAUUAUGGCAUGUAUUAGUCUACACCACGCUCACUCUUCGAACAUUUUGUUUAUGAGUGUGGAGGGGAAGUGGACACGACUCGAUUCACACACUGUGAAAGUGAUGAUAGAAACCACACCUGCUAUAUCAAACCCACAUGCAUUCCUUUUAAAAAAUUUAGGUGAGUUAUCAAAAUUGGUUGUCUUUUUAGUCCAUAGCUUUCAGUCAUUUAACUGAUGAGAAAGGAUGUGAUGAGCAAGUUUAAUCCACAGUGUUAUGUAGCUAACUAUGUAAGUGGCUAUGUUGGUAAUGUGUCUUCGGAAUGCAAUUAUCAGCAACCAGAAACCACCAUAAUUGCCCCAACUACUUAUAAACCUAUAAUGUCUGAUUUCAAUAAGCCAUUAUAGAAAAAUUUAGAUAAAUGAUACAAAUUUGGUAGGACUGUUAUGUCAGAGAUGUUUGGAUUGAUAAACUAUGGAAAUUGUAUUGUUUGACUCUUUGUUAGGUGAUUCAUCUUAGAUCAGACUACAUCUUUCUGUUCUUAAAAAAAAGAAAGAAAACUGGUGUACACAGUUUGGAAUUAUUCUAUAUAUUCACUAGAGAGUAGUCUAUAGUAUAAUUUAAGUGUGAUAGCCUCUUGACUUAAUUUUGUUUGAGGCUAUGUCCUUCCCCACUGAUAUCAACAGUAUGAUUAUGAGCAGUGCCUGUCAGUGGAAUUGAUAAUCCUUAGAGAUAUUUAUACUGGUGAAUCUAAAUUAGUCAACUACUCUGUAUGUCCAAAAGUAUGUGGACAUCAGCCUGAUCACACCCAUAUGUGCUUGUUGAAAAUCCCAUUCCAGAAUGAAUCCCCCUUUUUUGUUACAAUAACCUCCAUUUUUCUGGGAAGGCUUUCCACUAGAUUUUGGAGCAUGUCUGUGGCGAUUUGUGCCCAUUUAACCAAAAGAGCACAAAGCCUGGCACACAUUUAUCAUUCCAGUUUAUCCCAAAGAUGUUCAUUGGGGUUGAGGUCAAGAUUCUGUGCAGGUGACUCGAGUUCUUCCACACCAAACUUGGCAAAUCAUGUCUUCAUGGACCUUGCUUUGUGUACAGGCUUUGUCAUGCUGGAACAGGUUUGGGGUUCUUAGUUCUAGUGAAGGGAAGUCUUAAAACUAUAGCAUACAAAUAUAUCCUAUACAAUUAUGUGCUUCAACUUUGUAGCAACUGUUUGGGGAAGGCCCAUAUAUGGGUAUGGUGGUCAGGUGUCCACAUAUUUUUGGCCAUAUAGUAUAUCUCAACUGAGUAGGGUCUAUAAUUAAAUUAAAUUAAAUAUAAACUGACCUUGCUCUGACCUGAACACUAUACAUGUUGCCAUAUUGGUUAAACACAGUAACUGAAUAAUACUUCCAGUAAAAUCAGAUUGAAAACUAAACUUAACAUGGGUACUACAGUAGUUAAUGGGGAAAUAUAUGGAGGUACUUGUUAUAAUAAAAUCUCCAACCAGUUUGGAUAAAGACCAUUCAAGAUUGUUCACAGGUUGUUUAUGACUCCUCAGGAAUUGUGAAAACUCAGUCUAUCCAGAUCAGACAUACACUAAUUAUAUACAGUGCUGUGAAAAAGUAUUUGCCUGAAAUCCUGAUUUCUUCUGUUUUUGUGUAUAACUCAUACUAAAUUGUUUCAGAAAUUAAAUGAAUUAAAUCUAAGAUAAAACAAAAGCAACCUGAGUAAGCACAAAAUACAGUUUUUAAAUGAUAAUGUUAUUUAAUGAAGCAAAAAAAGUUAUCCAAUACCAACUAGGUCUGUGUGAAAAUAUAUUUGCCUCUGUAGUUACUAAUUCCCCAAAUCUGUGAAACUGCAUUCAUAAUGGGGUUCAGCUGGACCAGACACAACCAGGCCUGAUUACUGCAAACCCUGUUCAAUCAAAUCAACACUUAAAUAGAACUUUUCCAAAAGCAUGAAGUUGGUUAAAAGGUCUUACGCAGUAACACACUAUGCCAAAGAUGAAAGAAAUUCCAGAAUGAUGAAGGAGAAGGUGAUUGAAAUACAUCAGUCUGGGGUUACAAGGCUAUUUGAAAGGCUCUGGGACUCCAAAGAACCACAGUGAGAGCCAUUAUCUCCAAAUGGAAAAACUCAGCACAGUAGUGAACCUUCCCAGAAGUGUCCGACCUUCCAAAAUUCCUCCAAGAGCACAGCAACUACUCAUCCAGGAAGUCACAAAAGAGCCAAGGACAAAAUCAAAAGACCUACAGACCUCUCUUGCAUCAAUAAAGGUCACUGUUCAUGACUCCACUAUCAGAAAGACACUGGGUAAAAAUGGAAUCCAUUUAAGAGUGGUGAGGUGAAAACCGCUGCUAACCCAGAAGAACAUUAUGGCUUAUCUGAGUUUAGCCAUAAUGAUAAUGAGUCUUUAUUGAUCACAUAUGCACAGUGAAAUUCUUUUAUUCACAUACCCCAGCACAUUAGGAAGCUGGGGUCAGACAUGAUACAGAGUAGAUCAGCAAGGGUUAAGGACCUUGCUCAAGGGCCCAAUAGUGGCAGCUUGGCAGUGCUGGGGCUUGAACCCCUGACCUUCUGAUCAAUAACCCAGAGCCUUGGAAGAAUGUUCUGUGGAUUGAUGAGCCAAAAGUGGAACUGUUUAGAAGACAGGGGUCCUGUUACAUCUGGUGUAAACCAAACACAGAAUUCCACAAAAAGAUCAUCAUACCUACGGUCAAGCAUGGUGGAGGAAGUGUGAUGGUGUGGGGAUGUUUUGUUGCUUCAGGGCCUGGGCAACUUGCAACAAUUGAGGGGAAACAUGAGUUCUGCUCUCUAUCAGAAAAUCCUAAAGGAGAAUGUUGGUCUUCAGUCCGUAAGUUGAAACUCAAGUGGAUUAUGCACCAAGACAAUGAUCCAAAGCACAGGAGCAAAUCCACCUCUGAAUGGCUCAAAAAAGCAAAAUUAAAGUUUUGGAGUGGUCUAGUCAAAGUCCUGACUUGAACCAAUUGAGAUGCUGUGGCAGGACCUUAAACGGGGAGUUUAUGCUUGAAAUCCCUCCAGUGUGGCUGAACUAAAGCGAUUCUGCAAAGAAGAGUGGGCCAAAAUUCCACCACAGCACUGUGAAAGACUAUAACGCGUCCAGUUAUCGGAAGCGUUUGGUUGCAUUUGUAUUACGUUGUAUUUUGUUUGAAGAUCUAAAACUAAUUAGUAUGAGAUAGAAUAAAACUGAAGAAAUCAAGGUGGGGAAAAUACUUUAUUAAUUCUUUAUUAAUACAUGCUGGUGAAGGCUCCUUUAUCUAGUUUUGGGUGUGGUAAUGGAGAAUGUCAUAUCCAAUUUGGACAUGCUGAUAGUCCUCCAUCAUAGUCAGUACUAUGUACAGUUCUCAAGCCUGACACAGUGGCAAAAAACCAUAGAGUAUCUCUUGUCAACAAGUUGUUUUUAGAAGUUAUACAAAGUACAUAAUUUUCUUUUUCAGUGUUACACAAACCUACUACUGGGAGUAUAUUAUACUGUUGUAUCAGUUUGCCAAAUCUUUGGACUUUUUAUGUUUUUGGUUUCUUUUUGUUCAUGUAUCAAUCAUUAUUGCACAUUGGAAUGUUCUGUUUCUGUACUCUGUGGUUACCAAUUAGCAAGACCAAAGAGAAAUAAAGAAUUCAACUGUGUGAAGGGUGAGAAGAUAUACAAAUACUGGAUCUUAUUUUCUCAUAUCCUGGUUAACACAGAUAAGCAUCUAUUUGUCAUUAGAUCUAGCUGCAAACACAGAAGUGAACAUUGCAAGAGGCCAAGCAAUUCUGAGAAACUGCUUUUUUGAAAUGAUGAAAAGCUUCUGGAGAGAGCAAGAGAGAGAGAGAGAGAGAGAGAGAGAGAGAGAGAGAGAGAGAGAGAGAGAAGAUUGCUUGAUUUGCAUAAGUUGUGACUUGAUGGUAAUGAGCUGUAAGAGGUAAUUAGCUGGUGACUCAGGUUAAGAGAGGAACUCUGCUCAUUACAGGAGAGAAGAAGAGCCUGGGUCAGGAAGCUAAAGGCCCAGUGGGGGUGCAGGAUGAGAAAGCACUGGAUGUGUGGAGCUGUGGGCUUGAAGAGUUGAAGAGUGAAGAAACAGAAAGAAGUGAUGACACUGUCUAACAGCUGCUUAACACACACUGUGUUCACUUUAUUUGUUUUUCUCUCUAUAAAUCUUCUUUGUCUUGCAGCACUACUGCUGUAGAUCUGCUGUGUGUUUCAGGCAUUGCAAGUGUACAAUCCAAGUGAAGGUUUCUUUCAGAUAAAGCCUGUUGUGUAGAAGACAAUUAACAUGUUUACCCCCUUUUCAAAGAAAAGUCCUUGCACACAUCCGCCUGCCUUGCCAGUUAUUGAAAUUGGCCUCAAAAGAAGGAAAGGAAAGCAUGGAAAAAUGAGCAGGCAGUGUGUUUUCCUUCAAGCCUGUGGGGAAGCCGGACGUGGUGUGUGGGUGCGCUCAGAUAGCGGUGCUUAUCGUGCCCCUGUCUCUCCGUCUUCCUCCUUCCACUUCUCUUCCGACUUCUGGCAUGGGAGGAAGGUUAUGAUGUCAGACCACCGCCGGAGAAAGACUUAAAUGUGAGACAGAGAUAAAAAGAGUGACUAAGAUUCAGAGAGAGAAAAAGAAAAGGAAGAAUGAAAGCAGGAGAGUGACACAGUGCCAAAAGGCAGCGUGGUCAUGUGUGAGGGACUCUGAUCAACUUGCUCUGGCAGGAAAUGAGCACUGUAACAGAAUGCUGCAUGGUGCUGAUGCCGGAGGGCAAAACCCAAAACCUCACAAUGAACAACUCACUCUUUCUCUCUUUCUCUCCUACCCACUCAUCUUCCAUAUCUGGAUUCCCUCUUCCAUCAUUAGCCCUACCUCAGAAUAACCCCCCCACCCACCUUACCCCCCACCCAAACAGGAAAUGAAAACCAUUUUAAAAUCAUUUGGAAACAACAGGGGCUUAAAAUGGGGAAAUAAUCAGCGUGGGACACUAAACAUGAGUAAGUGAGUGAGUGAGAGAGAGAGAGAGGGAGAGAGAGAGAGAGAGAGAGAGAGAGAGAGAGAGAGAGAGAGAGAGAGAAGAUGGCCAGGCAAAUGGACAUAGAUAAAAAAAAGAUGCUCUUUAGUCUGAGAGUUUAUUUUUCAACCACCUCAUACUGUUCGCUUUCUUCUUUUCUCCAUCAUUCCAUCCAUCACAAGAGAAAUCACACUGCAGGAGGCAACCAGCAGACCUCUGAUGCUCCAUCUCCCUAUGCCACACCAGUCUGACCCUGUCCUGACCUUACACAAAAGGUGCCACCUAGGAGGCGCUCUCCCCCUUCCACUGCUCUGAUAACAUCUACUCUGACAUUUCCUUGGCGCAAUCUGAAAGGGUGCAGGGGCCUGCCAUUGCACUGUAGUGCCCCCACCUCUCUGUCUCUGGACAGUCUAUGGGCAGUGCAGACAAAAGAUUAGACCUGCCAAACUUAGAUUAGACUUUUAAGAGUUUUAUGUGACACAAGGUAUACUAGAAAAAGGCCAUUUGGGCUCUGAUCCUAAGGAUUUUGAAGAUAAAAAAAUAAAUAAAUUCUGUCUGAACAGGGCAUAACUGAGGAUUCAGUGAGUACUGUAUAUGUAUAUAGUAGUGUAUAUGUGUGACACUAGGAACAUGACAUACAUAGCUGUGUGUGCUCCUUAUAUGUUGCCCUUAUUCAUUCAAAAAAUGCUUUCAAGCUAAGAUGCCUUCAAAUAUAAUGUAGUGAAAAGUUUCUACAUUUAAAAAAGAAAUAAACUUAAACUUAAAAUGUAUUUAAUUUUGAAUUUAUUUACUGUUUCUUAAAUUAGUUGUCUCAGAUACAUAUUGUGCAGUUUUAUAAGGAAAUUAGCUGGUAAGCUUUACUGAGCAUCUUGAAGAAUCUGCUGCAGUUCUGGAGACUUUGUCUGUUGCACUUUCUUCUUUUUCUUCUUAAGAAAUAGAGUUCCGUAGACGUUUGCACAAUAUUGUAUGACUGGUGGCUCAUGACAUAGAAUUGUAGAGGACAGCAGCUGCUGUGACUGUACCUUACCUUAUGGAUUAAAAUAUCCCAUAACAUGAAAUAAAGCCUGUGAAGCAGAGUGGUAAAGUUUAGUGGUAAAGGUUGAUUUAGGAAAAUCACAUAUCCCAUCCCUAACAUCAUUUAAAUGGUUGUAAAAUAAACAGUGAUCAGGAGUAUGUUAAUCCUAAAUAAAUAUAAGAAUCAGUGGAAUUAUUUUUAUUACUACAUCCUCAUGAUUACUAAGAAAUAUUUAUCACCCAUCUCACAACUUUCAUGCAGGGACAACUUUCCUGCAGAGUAAAGUCAUUAACAAGGGCAAAGGUUGAUUACCCAAUUCCUCAAUCGAAUUGUGAUUCAUCAGUAACCAAUAGUGUGAUUGGUUUGGCUGCACUGACCUCUGAAAGCCCUGCUUGGAAAAACCAACCA
Molecule: long non-coding RNA, 9586 nt
Organism: Ictalurus punctatus (channel catfish)
Lineage: Eukaryota; Metazoa; Chordata; Actinopteri; Siluriformes; Ictaluridae
Exons: 4
Source: RefSeq, a predicted model, not a curated record